CAGCAGCCGCGGUAAUACGUAGGGCGCAAGCGUUGUCCGGAAUUAUUGGGCGUAAAGAGCUCGUAGGCGGUCUGUCGCGUCUGGUGUGAAAUCCCGAGGCUCAACCUCGGGCUUGCAUCGGGUACGGGCAGACUAGAGUGCGGUAGGGGAGACUGGAAUUCCUGGUGUAGCGGUGGAAUGCGCAGAUAUCAGGAGGAACACCGAUGGCGAAGGCAGGUCUCUGGGCCGCAACUGACGCUGAGGAGCGAAAGCAUGGGGAGCGAACAGGAUUAGAUACCCCAGUAGUCCCUGUCUCUUAUAC
Molecule: ribosomal RNA, 301 nt
Filed under: uncultured bacterium
Lineage: Bacteria
Description: partial 16S ribosomal RNA
Rfam family: Bacterial small subunit ribosomal RNA
Source: RNAcentral